GCAUCAAUGGGGUAGUGGUAACCUGGGUCGUUGCCAUGGGGCCCAUAACCUGUAGGACCCUCGACCCGCCGGGGGUUCGAUUCCCCCUUGAUGCA
Non-coding RNA from Dendrothele bispora CBS 962.96, 95 nucleotides. The record is from the annotation of a GenBank genome assembly. Lineage: Eukaryota; Fungi; Basidiomycota; Agaricomycetes; Agaricales.